GGGGUGUAGCUCAGCUGGGAGAGCACCUGCCUUGCAAGCAGGGGGUCAUCGGUUCGAUUCCGUUCACCUCC
This 71-nucleotide transfer RNA is filed under the name uncultured Pseudodesulfovibrio sp. It matches the Rfam family "tRNA". From Rfam's summary of the family: Transfer RNA (tRNA) molecules are approximately 80 nucleotides in length. Their secondary structure includes four short double-helical elements and three loops (D, anti-codon, and T loops). The record is from RNAcentral. Lineage: Bacteria; Pseudomonadati; Thermodesulfobacteriota; Desulfovibrionia; Desulfovibrionales; Desulfovibrionaceae.